Molecule: long non-coding RNA, 1491 nt
Organism: Ctenopharyngodon idella (grass carp)
Lineage: Eukaryota; Metazoa; Chordata; Actinopteri; Cypriniformes; Xenocyprididae
Exons: 4
Source: RefSeq, a predicted model, not a curated record
GUGUGUGAUGAGGGAACGUUUUAAAACAGGAGGGAGUGUUCUUCAGUCUUGGGACAGACUGGAGCAGCAACUCAGACGCAGAACUGCAGGGGCACUUGUAAAGAGCACACAUCUUCCCAAACUCUCUGACUGGAAACAUCAAGAACUAGGAUGAGUUUCAGGGUGAGCCUGUUGUUCCUGACCAUGACCGUGGUCAUAGUCUGUGGUCAGAAGAAACGCCCUGCAAAAGAGGAGUGGAACUACCGUGACGGCUCUGAGAAAGUAAGCAUGCGAGGAGUUGCAAAUCUGACUCAAGUGCUUGAUGACUGGAGGUUUGACAUCUUGAACCAAGUUAAAGGACUCCUGCAGAACGACCAUCAGUCCUUGCUGCCUGACUACUCCAGGAUCCAACCUCUCUCUGAGGCACUAGAUGACUUGUUCAAAGAGUUCAAUGCCCUGAAAACUCAUCUUGGUGAGCUGACAGAGAAGUUUGGACCAUUGGAAACCUUUAUCGAUGAACUGAAGACCGAGAGGGCCAGUGCCAGCGCAGCACCUGCUAACCCGGUGCGCAGACGGGUCAUUAAGAAGGCGCCUGUUGUCUCCUAAAAGCUCUGUGCUUGAGUAGAGCUGGGUCUCUCUUAACAGCAAACGACUAUCAUAUAGAUUCGUUUCGCAGUCUUUCUUUGAGCUUCUCACUCUUUUGGCAUCUUGUUGCUGUAUGUUGCUGGGAAACAGGUAAUAAACAAUAUGCUGAACUUGGUGAAUGUCCCUCUAUGUGGUUUAUCUGAAAGCAGCAAUUUAAAACGUGACAGCCUGCUCAUAAUUACUGUUGCAAAAAAUAAUAGACACAGCUGUUACCAUGGGACUUUAUUUUUAGAAUACCUUCUAUUACUCCUAAUCAAAAAGAAACAAGUAUGCAUUGGGGUGACACUUUAGUUUAGGGUCCAGUUCUCGCUAUUAUCUAGUUGCUUAUUAGCAUGCAUAUUAUUGGCUGUUAUAUUCAUACUUAUAAAGCACAUAGUAAUGCCUUAUUCUGCAUGACCAUAUUCUACAUCCCUUAAUCCUAUCCAAUAUCUAAACUUACCUUAAUAUCUAUUAAUAAACAGUAAUUAGGAGUUUAUUGAGGCAAAAGUCAUAGUUAAUAGUUACUUAAUUGUGAGAAUUGGACCCUAAUCUAAAGUGUUACCCGCAUUUGUUAUUCAGCACAAGAGUAUUUCAUUUCACUGACUUUAAUCCUGUAGUUGGAAUUAGUCUGUAUGAGUAUAUUCAAAUAUGCAUGACUGUCAGUGAAGUGAUAUGUUGUAUUUGCACCUCUCAAAAUGAUCAAUGACUCAUGCAGGUAUAAACUGAUUAUGUACAAGCUAAGAACAUUUCAGGAACAAAAUAAAUCGUGUUUUUCCAUUGUGUAUUUAUGCUUAUAAUCUGAUGAGCAUGGUAAUUAGAUGCUUAAUAUCUCUUGGCUCAUAUUUGCCAUCUCAUGUAAGCUAUAAUAAAUUCAGUCUGUUGCAUUCA